GCUAGAGAUUGCUGAUUUACGGCUUGACGGAAAAGCACUGCAGCCUCUUGGGAAGUGGGGGCAACCCUCUCCUUUCUACCAGUGUUCUCUGCGGCCGCCUGCCCGUCUGCCUGUCACCCUCACUUGAGAGCAUCUGUGUCCAGGGCUCCUCCCGACCUCGUCGACUGUUCCUGCUCUCCACAAUUCCGUGAUGCCUGUAGGAAGUACAGCCUGUCCUCUGUCACCGUGCUCUGCCGGAACUGUCCUCCAGCACUGGGGAUGCAGGAAAGCGGGGAGCACCCAGAAGACCCUCUGAGAUGCCGUGGAGCACGCAAUCGUCCUGACUGGCAGCUAUAG
Molecule: long non-coding RNA, 336 nt
Filed under: Ursus americanus (American black bear)
Lineage: Eukaryota; Metazoa; Chordata; Mammalia; Carnivora; Ursidae
Description: lncRNA (ENSUAMG00000016989.1)
Source: RNAcentral